This 576-nucleotide long non-coding RNA is filed under the name Gossypium barbadense (sea-island cotton). RNAcentral describes it as "long non-coding RNA (GBAR_LNC008673)". The record is from RNAcentral. Lineage: Eukaryota; Viridiplantae; Streptophyta; Magnoliopsida; Malvales; Malvaceae.
AGGAAUCGGAGAAGAAACCCGACAAACCUAAAGAAGCCGAGAAGCCGAAAGAAGCUGAGAAGAAGCCGGAAAAACCCAAAGAAGCUGAGAAGAAGCCGGAAAAACCCAAAGAUCCUGAGAAGAAGCCGGAAAAACCCAAAGAUCCUGCUCCUGAGAAGAAGCCGGAAAAACCCAAAGAACCUGCUCCUGGGAAGAGACCGCCAAAGCCCAAAGACGGUGGUGAGACGAAACCGGAUAUACCUAGAGAGGUGGCGUCGCAGCAGAAUGUUGCGGCACCUUCUCCUUUACCGCCGAUGACGUAUGCAGUUGGGUAUACUUGCUCCGAGGGUUAUUAUAAUGGUUAUGGUGGAGGACCUAGCUAUUAUGGUGGACCACCCCAACAACCGUUCCCAUAUUACGAGACUUACGGUAGGCCUGUUUAUGACAGCUGGGGUGGCGGCGGCGGUGGCUACUACAGGUACGGCGGCCGUACCGGUGAAUGUUUUAGUGAAGAAAACCCUCAAGGUUGCUCGAUCAUGUAAAAAAACCGCGGGAAUUCGUUAUACUAUAAUGGUAAUAAUAAAUUCUCUUGUCUAC